GUCUUUGUAGUAUAAUCAUUACCCCGGCCUUGUAAACCGAAAAUGAGGUACUUCACCUCCAAAGACA
RNAcentral lists this transfer RNA (67 nucleotides) under Sicista concolor (Chinese birch mouse). RNAcentral describes it as "tRNA-Thr". The record is from RNAcentral. Lineage: Eukaryota; Metazoa; Chordata; Mammalia; Rodentia; Dipodidae.